GACGAACGCUGGCGGCGUGCUUAACACAUGCAAGUCGAACGGUGAAGCGCCUUCCUUUUUGGUGGGUGUGGAUGAGUGGCGAACGGGUGAGUAACACGUGAGUAACCUGCCCCCUUCUUCUGGAUAACCGCAUGAAAGUGUGGCUAAUACGGGAUAUUCUGGUUCUGUCGCAUGAUGGGUCUGGGAAAGAUAUUGUUUCGGUGGGGGAUGGGCUCGCGGCCUAUCAGCUUGUUGGUGGGGUGAUGGCCUACCAAGGCGGUGACGGGUAGCCGGCCUGAGAGGGUGGAGGGUACAAAUGGGACUGAGACAGGGACCAGACUCCUACAGGAGGCAGCAGUGGGGAAUAUUGCACAAUGGGCGCAAGCCUGAUGCAGCGACGCCGCGUGAGGGAUGGAGGCCUUCGGGUUGUGAACAUCUUUCGCCAGUGAAGCAGGCCUGCCUCGUUUGUGGGUGGGUUGACGGUAGCUGGAUAAGAAGCGCCGGCUAACUACGUG
This 494-nucleotide ribosomal RNA is filed under the name uncultured bacterium. RNAcentral describes it as "partial 16S ribosomal RNA". It matches the Rfam family "Bacterial small subunit ribosomal RNA", at positions 28 to 507 of the family's 1533-position model. The record is from RNAcentral.